RNAcentral lists this long non-coding RNA (759 nucleotides) under Monodelphis domestica (gray short-tailed opossum). Its description in RNAcentral is "lncRNA (ENSMODG00000048672.1)". Lineage: Eukaryota; Metazoa; Chordata; Mammalia; Didelphimorphia; Didelphidae. The record is from RNAcentral.
UUUUCCAUAGACUGUAUUUCCAGUUGUUGCUCAGCAUUUGGACUUCUCCUUGAAAGAAUCACCACAGAGCCACCCCCCUUUUGGGCAAUAAAUCUGACUGUUUCGAAGCCAAGGCCAGAGAGUCCUCCUGACACAAUAUACACUGCAUUUGACUUAAAAAGUUUCUUUUCUGCUGCAUUCUUAGGUUCCACAUUUUAGGAAGAACAUUGAUGAUCAUCCAGAGGAAGAUAUCCAGGAGGGUGAAGAGUCUCAAAAAUCAUGCUGAAUCGUGGGAAAAAAGACUUGGGAAAGGGGUCUAUCGUUUCAUCCUUAUGGCUACCUCCUCCCCUGAGACUGAUUACCACACUUCUACCAUUUAGUGGAUGGCUUCAUAUGGCUGCGAUAGCUGCUUGGACAGCCUUCAAAUACAAUGGCUACAAUGCUCAAUAGAAAUGAGAUUCUGGACAUUAAAUGAGAAGAAUUGUGCUAGGUAAAAACAUUGUUGACUUUUGUCAUUAUUGCUACCAUACUCACCCCCUGGAAAGUUGCAGCCAAUUCCUACAAUUGCAAUUGUGUCAUCUGUCUCCAUCAUUCCUCACAUUCACUUGAUAUCUGCAAAAACAAAUGGAGAGUACAAUACACCAGAAGCUGUAUUUUAAAGGCAGUGUGGUAUAAUUGUGCAUAGGAUUUGGGGUAGGAGAUGCAGUUUCCAGUCCUGCCUUUGUUCCUUAUGUCUAGGCAUGAUAAUCUCUAAGAUCCUUUUAAAUUCCAAGUCCUGUU